This 930-nucleotide ribosomal RNA is filed under the name Pseudomonas putida. RNAcentral describes it as "bacterial SSU rRNA". It matches the Rfam family "Bacterial small subunit ribosomal RNA", at positions 1 to 894 of the family's 1533-position model. The record is from RNAcentral. Lineage: Bacteria; Pseudomonadati; Pseudomonadota; Gammaproteobacteria; Pseudomonadales; Pseudomonadaceae.
UUUCGGGGGAAACCCCCGCCUAACGGUUUUUUUAAACCGAACUAGAGUUUGAUCCUGGCUCAGAUUGAACGCUGUCGGCAGGCCUAACACAUGCAAGUCGAGCGGAUGACGGGAGCUUGCUCCUUGAUUCAGCGGCGGACGGGUGAGUAAUGCCUAGGAAUCUGCCUGGUAGUGGCGGACAACGUUCCGAAAGCGGCGCUAAUACCGCAUACGUCCUACGGGAGAAAGUGGGGGAUCUUCGGACCUCACGCUAUCAGAUGAGCCUAGGUCGGAUUAGCUAGUUGGUGAGGUAAAGGCUCACCAAGGCGACGAUCCGUAACUGGUCUGAGAGGAUGAUCAGUCACACUGGAACUGAGACACGGUCCAGACUCCUACGGGAGGCAGCAGUGGGGAAUAUUGGACAAUGGGCGAAAGCCUGAUCCAGCCAUGCCGCGUGUGUGAAGAAGGUCUUCGGAUUGUAAAGCACUUUAAGUUGGGAGGAAGGGCAGUAAGUUAAUACCUUGCUGUUUUGACGUUACCGACAGAAUAAGCACCGGCUAACUCUGUGCCAGCAGCCGCGGUAAUACAGAGGGUGCAAGCGUUAAUCGGAAUUACUGGGCGUAAAGCGCGCGUAGGUGGUUCGUUAAGUUGGAUGUGAAAGCCCCGGGCUCAACCUGGGAACUGCAUCCAAAACUGGCGAGCUAGAGUAUGGUAGAGGGUGGUGGAAUUUCCUGUGUAGCGGUGAAAUGCGUAGAUAUAGGAAGGAACACCAGUGGCGAAGGCGACCACCUGGACUGAUACUGACACUGAGGUGCGAAAGCGUGGGGAGCAAACAGGAUUAGAUACCCUGGUAGUCCACGCCGUAAACGAUGUCAACUAGCCGUUGGAAUCCUUGAGAUUUUAGUGGCGCAGCUAACGCAUUAAGUGACCGCCGGGAGUCGCCCCCGAGGA